RNAcentral lists this ribosomal RNA (834 nucleotides) under uncultured marine bacterium. RNAcentral describes it as "bacterial SSU rRNA". It matches the Rfam family "Bacterial small subunit ribosomal RNA", at positions 481 to 1323 of the family's 1533-position model. The record is from RNAcentral.
GAGGAAUAAGCAUCGGCUAACUCCGUGCCAGCAGCCGCGGUAAUACGGGGGAUGCAAGCGUUAUCCGGAAUCAUUGGGCGUAAAGCGCCUGUAGGUUGUUUAAUAAGUCUGUUGUUAAAGACUAGGACUUAACCCUAGAAAAGCAAUGGAAACUACUAGACUAGAGUAUGGCAGGGGUAGAGGGAAUUUCUAGUGUAGCGGUGAAAUGCGUAGAUAUUAGAAAGAACACCGGUGGCGAAAGCGCUCUACUGGACCAUUACUGACACUCAGAGGCGAAAGCUAGGGUAGCAAAAGGGAUUAGAUACCCCUGUAGUCCUAGCCGUAAACGAUGGAUACUACAUGUUGUGCAUUAUGUACAGUAUGGUAGCUAACGCGUUAAGUAUCCCGCCUGGGGAGUACGCUCGCAAGGGUGAAACUCAAAGGAAUUGACGGGGGCCCGCACAAGCGGUGGAGCAUGUGGUUUAAUUCGAUGCAACGGGAAGAACCUUACCAGGACUUGACAUACUACAAAUUCUUUUGAGAAAAAGAAGUGCCUUCGGGAAUGUAGAUACAGGUGGUGCAUGGCUGUCGUCAGCUCGUGUCGUGAGAUGUUGGGUUAAGUCCCGCAACGAGCGCAACCCUUAUUUUUAGUUACCAAUUCGUUGGGUUCUCUAGAAAGACUGCCGGUGACAAACCGGAGGAAGGUGAGGAUGACGUCAAGUCAGCAUGCCCCUUAUGUCCUGGGCUACACACGUGCUACAAUGGUUAAGACAAAGAGUCGCGAGCUCGUGAGAGUCAGCUAAUCUCAUAAACUUAGCCCAAGUUCAGAUUGUAGGCUGCAACUCGCCUACGUGA